GUCCAUCAUGAAUAGUUCAAUGUUAAUAUUGCCACGAUAGUCUAAGUAGCAUAUGGGACACAUCCAUUGAAAUCACAUUAUACCAUAGUUUGCCGCAAUAUUUAUUUGCAAUAGAAAAUUGAAAUUAUGAAGUCGAAGACCUUUCCUUCAUUCUCCUCCCUUAACUAUUGUGUUUAGUCAGGGUGGGGAUGAUAUUUCAUAUCGGCAACUUCAGCUUCUCAACCAUUACAGCUGCUACAACAUUCUUGCAACCUCCUCCAUCCAUAACACAAUCACAAGCCUUGCCAUGUGACGUGCCCUUUGCAUGGAAACCAUUGUGGUGCCCUGUGUUGGUCACCUCUCUCUAAC
This 348-nucleotide long non-coding RNA is filed under the name Eucalyptus grandis. Its description in RNAcentral is "long non-coding RNA (EGRA_LNC004781)". Lineage: Eukaryota; Viridiplantae; Streptophyta; Magnoliopsida; Myrtales; Myrtaceae. The record is from RNAcentral.